UACGAAGGGGGCUAGCGUUGCUCGGAAUUACUGGGCGUAAAGCGCACGUAGGCGGUUUGUUAAGUCGGGGGUGAAAUCCUGGAGCUCAACUCCAGAACUGCCUUCGAUACUGGCGAUCUCGAGUUCGGGAGAGGUGAGUGGAACUGCGAGUGUAGAGGUGAAAUUCGUAGAUAUUCGCAAGAACACCAGUGGCGAAGGCGGCUCACUGGCCCGAUACUGACGCUGAGGUGCGAAAGCGUGGGGAGCAAACAGG
RNAcentral lists this ribosomal RNA (253 nucleotides) under uncultured bacterium. Its description in RNAcentral is "partial 16S ribosomal RNA". It matches the Rfam family "Bacterial small subunit ribosomal RNA", at positions 524 to 776 of the family's 1533-position model. The record is from RNAcentral.